UACGUAGGGUGCAAGCGUUAAUCGGAAUUACUGGGCGUAAAGCGUGCGCAGGCGGCUUUGCAAGACAGAUGUGAAAUCUCCGGGCUCAACCUGGGAACCGCAUUUGUGACUGCAUGGCUAGAGUACGGUAGAGGGGGAUGGAAUUCCGCGUGUAGCAGUGAAAUGCGUAGAUAUCUGGAGGAACACCGGUGGCGAAGGCGGCAUCCUGGACCAACACUGACACUGAAAAGCGAAAGCCAGGGGAGCAAACGGG
RNAcentral lists this ribosomal RNA (253 nucleotides) under uncultured bacterium. RNAcentral describes it as "partial 16S ribosomal RNA". It matches the Rfam family "Bacterial small subunit ribosomal RNA", at positions 524 to 776 of the family's 1533-position model. The record is from RNAcentral.